UGGUCAAGUUAUUAAGGGUGCAGGGCGGAUGCCUUGGCACUAGGAGCCGAUGAAGGACGUGAUAAGCUGCGAUAAGCUUCGGGGAGUUGCACGUAAACUUUGAUCCGAAGAUUUCCGAAUGAGGAAACUCACUUAGAGUAAUGUCUAAGUAUCAUUAAGUGAAUACAUAGCUUAAUGAGGGGAACUCAGGGAACUGAAACAUCUAAGUACCUGAAGGAAGAGAAAGAUAUUCGAUUCCGUAAGUAGCGGCGAGCGAACGCGGAUUAGCCCAAACCAAU
RNAcentral lists this ribosomal RNA (278 nucleotides) under Clostridioides difficile. RNAcentral's name for it is "partial 23S ribosomal RNA". It matches the Rfam family "Bacterial large subunit ribosomal RNA", at positions 1 to 278 of the family's 2925-position model. Lineage: Bacteria; Bacillati; Bacillota; Clostridia; Peptostreptococcales; Peptostreptococcaceae. The record is from RNAcentral.